This 460-nucleotide ribosomal RNA is filed under the name uncultured bacterium. RNAcentral's name for it is "partial 16S ribosomal RNA". It matches the Rfam family "Bacterial small subunit ribosomal RNA", at positions 338 to 795 of the family's 1533-position model. The record is from RNAcentral.
CCUACGGGUGGCAGCAGUGAGGAAUAUUGGGCAAUGGACGAGAGUCUGAACCAGCCAAGUAGCGUGAAGGAUGACUGCCCUAUGGUUUGUAAACUUCUUUUAUAUGGGAAUAAAAUGUUACACGAGUGGGAUUUUGUAUGUACCAUAUGAAUGAGGCACGGCUAACUCAGUUCCAGCGGCCGCGGUAAUACGGAGGAUCGGAGCGUUAUCCGGAUUGAUUGGGGUUAAAGGGAGCGUAGGUGGAUUGUUAAGUCAGUUGUGAAAGUUUGCGGCUCAACCGGAAAAUUGCAUUUGAAACUGGCAGUCUUGAGUGCAGUAGAGGUGGGCGGAAUUCGUGGUGUAGCGGUGAAAUGCUUAGAUAUCACGAAGAACUCCGAUUGCGAAGGCAGUUCACUGGACUGCAACUGACACUGAGGCUCGAAAGUGUGGGUAUCAAACAGGAUUAGAUACCCGAGUAGUC